Long non-coding RNA from Cyprinus carpio carpio, 815 nucleotides. The record is from Ensembl. Lineage: Eukaryota; Metazoa; Chordata; Actinopteri; Cypriniformes; Cyprinidae.
GCUUGUUCUAACACGCCCCCACAUCUCUACGUCAGUAUGUGGGAAGAUUUGCAUAAUGCCUCCCAGAUGUUCACGCAAAGAAAGAAGGCGUUACUUUUAUUCUCGCUGUUGCCGCUGCUGCUGUGUUGUGAAGACGUUGUGUGUUUUGUUGUGAAAAAUAUAUUAUAUAUAUUAUAUUAUCAUAAUUCAUGCAAUAUUUUAAUAUAUUUAUAUAAAAAAUGACUUGCCAUAUUCCAUGUGAACUCCACAAGACGACGAACAAGCAGAAAAGCAUCAUUGAUCUUCUUCCCAUCCAGAUCAGGAAAGACGGUUGCCAAUCCAGAGCCUAUGAUAUGCACAACCAUGUCCUAUUGGAUCAGAAGAUACACAUUAUAUACAACUGGAUAGGACGGGACGGGACGAGACGAGAUGAGAAAGUCACCUGUCUGAACACGAUUCCUCUUCAUCUUCUUUCUGGAUAUAUCGCUGCUCAACAUGCAUGUCAGUGUCGUAGAACUGUUUUCCCAUCUGUCUGAGCUGACCCAUGGCGUAGUGCAGGCAACCUUUACGUUUGCUCCUGGCCAAACACACAGAGACACAUCAACAACACAGAACAUCAGCUGAACACUGGACUACUGUGACUUUAUUAGGAAUUAUUAUUAGAAAUUCAGUCUGACGUCGGCUCUCUCUCUGACACGUUUCCACACGUCAUCACCGUACGACUACUUAAUGAAGUCAUGAAGACUUUCACACAGCAGCCCGUACAUCCUGACCGCACCGACACACCGGAGACGUCUUCAAAUCCACACAAAUCUGAAUGUCUGGAAUCUCCAAAU